UAGAGUUUGAUCCUGGCUCAGAAUCAACGCUGGCGGCGCGCUUAACACAUGCAAGUCGAGCGAGAAAGGGGAGCAAUCCAUGAGUAGAGUGGCAAACGGGUGAGUAACACGUGGGUGACCUGCCUUCGAGUGGGGGAUAACGUCCCGAAAGGGACGCUAAUACCGCAUAACAUGCUGUCGUUUAAAAGACGGACAUCAAAGCCGGGGACCGCAAGGCCUGGCGCUUGAAGAGGGGCCCGCGCCUGAUUAGCUAGUUGGUGGGGUAAUGGCUCACCAAGGCAACGAUCAGUAUCCGGCCUGAGAGGGCGGACGGACACACUGGGACUGAGACACGGCCCAGACUCCUACGGGAGGCAGCAGUGGGGAAUUGUUCGCAAUGGGCGCAAGCCUGACGACGCAACGCCGCGUGGAGGAUGAAGAUCUUCGGGUC
This 430-nucleotide ribosomal RNA is filed under the name uncultured Pseudomonadota bacterium. Its description in RNAcentral is "bacterial SSU rRNA". It matches the Rfam family "Bacterial small subunit ribosomal RNA", at positions 1 to 424 of the family's 1533-position model. Lineage: Bacteria; Pseudomonadati; Pseudomonadota. The record is from RNAcentral.